GGAAAUUCUCUCUCUCCUUCACUCCAAACUUUCGACCACCACCUCUCUCUCCUCUCUCUCACAUUUCCACCAUUGACAACCAUUAACGAGACCUUGGGAGCUUCACAAAAUCACACCAAAAUCACAAAUCACCCUCUAAAUCUUACACUAAACACUUCCACCUCCUUGAAUUCAAGAAGAUCUUUGGAGUUUGAUCUUCAAAGUUAGAGAGAGAAAGUUUGAUAUUUGGUGUAAGUUUGGGCCCGAGAGAGACAAAGAAGUAAGUCACCUGUUUUCUUUCAAAGUUGAGCGAAGGACUUCAGGCUAAGCAAGGAGCGAGAAUGGUCUGGUGCUGGUGGGGAUUCGUUUAGCAGAUGUAUUUACUUUAUCGUAUUUCCUUUUUGUCGAUAAAGUCUUGAUGAAUGAGAUACUUUGUUUUCUUUUGAAUCAAGCAAUGUACUCGCGGUUAUAUGUCUUCAUACAUAUAAUCGACUCGUCUUUUGCUGCGAUACUCUGAAUAUUAUGAUUCCUUAUGAAAAAUGAGCUAUAGCCGUUUUGUUUU
This is a long non-coding RNA of Salvia miltiorrhiza (redroot sage), 541 nucleotides long. RefSeq lists it as uncharacterized. The record is from RefSeq and is a predicted model, not a curated record. The transcript is spliced from 3 exons. Lineage: Eukaryota; Viridiplantae; Streptophyta; Magnoliopsida; Lamiales; Lamiaceae.